GGGAGCAUCCCAAUCGGGGCUGACCUCAGCGGCAAAGCCGGGGAUGGCGGUCGGGUCGUUCCCUGAGAGAUCCCAGGUCCCCAAGCCGCGUCCCCGAGGACGGGAACAUCGCAUCCCGAGGGCCGGCUGGAGGCUCCAUCCCAGGCUGGCCGCCGGCCCGAGCACGGAAAGCAGAGCCGAGCCCAUCUGAAACGCAUUCGGGCACUGUUGCUGCAAUAGCAGAUGCUCCUGCGGGUCGCCGGCCACAUCACAGCCCGGCGGAGCGGGAACCGCACGUUCACAUGGGAAGAAACAGUUCUUGUCCCAAGCGGCUCAAACUCCUAAUUGGGGACCAACCGUGACAAAUAAACAAGACAAU
Long non-coding RNA from Corvus hawaiiensis (hawaiian crow), 358 nucleotides. RefSeq lists it as uncharacterized. The record is from RefSeq and is a predicted model, not a curated record. Lineage: Eukaryota; Metazoa; Chordata; Aves; Passeriformes; Corvidae. The transcript is spliced from 2 exons.